This 73-nucleotide transfer RNA is filed under the name Stegodyphus mimosarum. It matches the Rfam family "tRNA". From Rfam's summary of the family: Transfer RNA (tRNA) molecules are approximately 80 nucleotides in length. Their secondary structure includes four short double-helical elements and three loops (D, anti-codon, and T loops). Lineage: Eukaryota; Metazoa; Arthropoda; Arachnida; Araneae; Eresidae. The record is from Rfam by way of RNAcentral.
GCCUUCAUGGUGUAGUGGUCAGCACGCUCGGCGCGUAUUCGAGAGGUCCGUGGUUCGAGUCCCGGCGGGGGCA